AUACGAAGGGCCCGAGCGUUGCGCGGAAUUACUGGGCUUAAAGGGUGCGUAGGCGGAUGUGUAAGUGUCUUGUGAAAUCCCACGGCUUAACCGUGGAACUGCUUGGCAAACUACACAUCUUGAGCCUGACAGAGGCGACCAGAACUCUAGGUGGAGCGGUGAAAUGCGUAGAUAUCUAGAGGAAUGCCAAAGGUGAAGACAGGUCGCUGGGUCAGUGCUGACGCUGAGGCACGAAAGCGUGGGUAGCGAACGGAAUUAGAAACCCCAGUAGUCC
Molecule: ribosomal RNA, 274 nt
Filed under: uncultured bacterium
Lineage: Bacteria
Description: partial 16S ribosomal RNA
Rfam family: Bacterial small subunit ribosomal RNA
Source: RNAcentral